This 460-nucleotide ribosomal RNA is filed under the name uncultured bacterium. RNAcentral describes it as "partial 16S ribosomal RNA". It matches the Rfam family "Bacterial small subunit ribosomal RNA", at positions 338 to 795 of the family's 1533-position model. The record is from RNAcentral.
CCUACGGGAGGCAGCAGUGAGGAAUAUUGGUCAAUGGACGAGAGUCUGAACCAGCCAAGUAGCGUGAAGGAUGACUGCCCUAUGGGUUGUAAACUUCUUUUAUAUGGGAAUAAAACAGGGUAUGCAUACCCUCUUGUAUGUACCAUAUGAAUAAGGAUCGGCUAACUCCGUGCCAGCAGCCGCGGUAAUACGGAGGAUCCGAGCGUUAUCCGGUUUUAUUGGGUUUAAAGGGAGCGUAGGUGGAUUGUUAAGUCAGUUGUGAAAGUUUGCGGCUCAACCGUAAAAUUGUAGUUGAAACUGGCAGUCUUGAGUACAGUAGAGGUGGGCGGAAUUCGUGGUGUAGCGGUGAAAUGCUUAGAUAUCACGAAGAACUCCGAUUGCGAAGGCAGCUCACUGGACUGCAACUGACACUGAGGCUCGAAAGUGUGGGUAGCAAACAGGAUUAGAUACCCUGGUAGUC